UAGAAUGUCUUGUGUAGAAAAAAAGUGCUUUCUUUUGGUAAUUUUAAAUAUAUUGCCUGCUAAUUUCAUUUUCAGUUGAUACUUUUUGUGUCUUGACACAAUCACAAUGAAUUUACCUUUCCCCAAUAAUUUGUAAUAUUUGAGACCGUUAACAAGUUACUAUGUUUCUGUCCAGGCUACAGAAGUUCAUUCUAUUUCAUUACUUCUUGUAGAGAAGCUGUUUGAUUCUUCUGCUGUUUGUGUUACUCUUUUGUUCACGCUCUUCACGUUCUAUUGUACCACUACUAAGAGGGGGUGACCAACACCACUAACAAUAAGCGAGGUGCCAGUUAGCUUUAGUUGUGCAGUAUCACAGCAAAAUCUGCUUUUUUCAUUAGUUGCCAAGAGUAUUGUGACAUUUGCUGAACUUCAGAUGUCUGAUAUCACCGUAGGGUUGCAGACGAUUUCUCAAGCACCUCUGCUUUCAUCUCUCCUAAAAACUCUUGUCUGCUAUAAAUCUUCCACCCUCCUUUCCUAAACCACUCAUUCUUCUGAAUGUUACUUGUUCAAAGAAGCUCAAACUGGUAACUCUCUAUUCACUCUGACUUCCAUGUCCUCCUACCUUUUUAACAACUACGGGAAAACCUCUCACCCUCUAAUUGCUACAAAAAACUAAAAGCCUUAGGCAAAAAAAACUUGUUGAAAGGUUUGUAACAAUCCAUACAGACCAUAUCAACUUACAUAAAGUCCAGUAGAUUCUCACAAUUUUGAAUCUGUGACUCAGCCCCCGAAUUACUCUCCCAAAAUACAUUGAAAUUAUGCAUAUUUUAGUUUCCCUGUAACCUGCUUGAUAUGGCAGUCCCUAUUUUCUCAGGCCGGUCUUGCUACCCUCCUCCUGUCUAGUUUUGUGACUCUCUUGUGCCGUAAGAACACUGCACAACAGGCAAGUUUAAUUACCUCAUGCUUGAGCUCCUCUAGAAUUUAGUAAAUGCUUCCAUGUCUUCUAACUUAACACUGGUCAGUUUAUCAGACUUACUGACAUGCCAGUCAGAGGGUGAACCUGGGGAAUUGUAUCCAUAAAGAUCCCUACCCCCUUUCCCAUUUCCACAGCAAACUGCCUCAGCCUUGCCUUCCAUGGAUGCCGGCAGCAGGUGUUAAAACCCGACACCAUUUGUCCUACAACAAGCAGAGCCGCCGUGAUCUCUCUAUGGAUCAACUUUCUGAUUUGCCCACAGAAACAUAUCACAUUUUUUAGCGUGACAUGGAAACAAGAAAAUAUUUCCUUCAGCAUUUCCAUUUGCAUUUACGGAUCACGCCAAGAUUCGCUGCUCCGAGGCCAAAACAACCGCGGAGAAGCAGAGCCGACGGAGCUCCCAGCGCCCCGUGACCGCGGCGCCCCGUGCACAGGCGGGCACGGUCACGGCUGCGGUCGGUCCCGGAGCUCGGUCACCGCCUGUUCCACGGCCACUGACAACGCGUGAAACCGAACAGCUCCUCGGCUCGCUUCAUCCGCCAGCACGGCCGGAGUCUGUUAUGUUCGAAGCGAUGGUUUAAGGAGUGAAAUUACAUACACCAAGUCUCAUACCAAUUAAGACUUUAACCACUAAUUGCCAAGAAUAAAAGAAAAGCAACCUGAAGUGGAAAUAAGACAGCUUACAUCACGUCCAGCUUCACCAGGAGCACCAUUUGGACCAGGAGAACCCACAGGACCAGAAGGACCACGGGCACCAGGAGGACCAGAAACACCCAGGGGACCAGGUUCACCCUAAUAUAGGAACAGUGAGAUGCCUGGAAGACCACGUUCUCCCCGAGAACCAGGCAGACCAAGAAUACCAGGAGCACCAAGAAUACCCUGAGGACCUGGGGUACCAGGAGGACCCUGUGAUGUGAAG
This is a long non-coding RNA of Neopelma chrysocephalum (saffron-crested tyrant-manakin), 1871 nucleotides long. RefSeq lists it as uncharacterized. The transcript has 3 exons. The record is from RefSeq and is a predicted model, not a curated record. Lineage: Eukaryota; Metazoa; Chordata; Aves; Passeriformes; Pipridae.